AUUGAACGCUGGCGGCAUGCUUUAUACAUGCAAGUCGUGCGGCAGCGCGGGGGCAACUCUGGCGGCGAGCGGCGAACGGGUGAGUAAUACAUAGGAACGUAUCCUGAAAUGGGGGAUAGCUCGGCGAAAGCCGGAUUAAUACCGCAUACGCUCCACGGAGGAAAGCAGGGGAUCGCAAGACCUUGCGUUUCUGGAGCGGCCUAGGUCUGAUUAGCUAGNGGCGGGUAAUAGCCCACCAAGGCGACGAUCAGUAGCUGGUCUGAGAGGAUGAUCAGCCACACUGGGACUGAGACACGGCCCAGACUCCUACGGAGGCAGCAGUAGGGAAUUUUGGACAAU
This 339-nucleotide ribosomal RNA is filed under the name uncultured bacterium. RNAcentral describes it as "bacterial SSU rRNA". It matches the Rfam family "Bacterial small subunit ribosomal RNA", at positions 30 to 372 of the family's 1533-position model. The record is from RNAcentral.